Triticum aestivum (bread wheat) is the source of this 948-nucleotide long non-coding RNA. RefSeq lists it as uncharacterized. The transcript is spliced from 3 exons. NCBI's taxonomy places the organism in Eukaryota, Viridiplantae, Streptophyta, Magnoliopsida, Poales, Poaceae. The record is from RefSeq and is a predicted model, not a curated record.
AAUCCUAAUAAAUCCUCACGUUUCCUCAUCUCUUCCUCCUCUCGACCCCUUCCUCCGCCGCCAUACCACAACGUGGAAAUUAAUCCUCACGCUUCCUCAUCUCCGCCUCCCCAUCGACCUCUUCCCUCGCCGGCACACCAAAGCCUGCUCUCGCGCCCUCUAUCCACGCAUGGUCUGAACCUCAUGGUCGUCGGACAUCUAUGCGGCCCAAGGAAUCUUCAGAUGGUGAACAAAAAAAGAACCAUCCUUAUGGAUUUGGAGAAACACGGCUACUUGAGAUCAUGGAUAACCAAUCGCUUUCAAGCUCGGUUCUUGGUUGGCGGGCUGCAGACAUGGAAGAGGAUACCUACGAAUAACUAAAUAUAAAAACAGCGAGUAGUACAUAAUGACUGUGAUUUUACAUGUUUGCAGUUCCAAGCCAAAUGGACCAUAGAGCAGCAAUAGCAAUCAGCUCCUAGGACAUAUUGCCUUUUGCUUUAUUACCAGUGGUAUUUUAGUAAGAUUUUACUUUUAAGGCAUUUAUUACCAAACUGCACUUAUGUUCUAUACGGAUAAGACCUACUAAUUACUUGCUAUUUUAGCUCCCAGUCUAUUGAAGGUCUGUUCGUAUUUAAAUAUUAGUACGGAAUGAGUCCUUUGUCAGCUGAUUUAAUUAUAGGUAUAUCAUAAUCCUGUAGUGCUGCAAAAAAAAUAUAGCAGUUACUUUUCACAUUUUUCCCUUUUGAAUUUUUGUUAUUAUAGAUAAUUGCCAUUCUCUGGGGAUCUUUCCGUGGAUAUUUAGUUAAUGAUCAUCGGUCAAUUUUUUGAAACUUUCAAAUUGUUUCAACAUUUCAAAAUCAUGAGGUGGUAUAUAGGACAACUGGAUAUGAUGUGUACCAUAGCUGUCUUCUUAGUUCUGUUAGCAUUGUCGGAAUCUUUUCCAGACUUUUGAUUAUAUUUGACAUACUU